RNAcentral lists this ribosomal RNA (1211 nucleotides) under Rhagovelia sp. XD-2019. Its description in RNAcentral is "16S ribosomal RNA". The stretch from base 784 to 1138 matches the Rfam family "Archaeal large subunit ribosomal RNA", at positions 2155 to 2712 of the family's 2987-position model. The record is from RNAcentral. Lineage: Eukaryota; Metazoa; Arthropoda; Insecta; Hemiptera; Veliidae.
AAUAAAAAUAUUUUUUUUUUUAGUAUUUUGAACAAAUAUUUUUUUAUUAUAGUUUAUUUAACUGUGAAGGUUAAUUAUUUUUUUAAUAGAAGUAGUCUUGUUUUGAUGUACCUUUUGCAUCAGGGUUUAUUAAUUUAAAAUAAAUAUUUAUUUUUCUCGAAAUUUUGAGUUUAAAAUUAAGAUGUUUUUUAUUGUUUUAUAUAUAUAUAUAAUCUUAUUUUAGAGGUGAUAUACUUUACAUUCAAAAUUAUAUCUAGUUUUUUAAUAAUUGAAUUUAAUUCAUUUUAUAUAAGAAUUUUUUAAUUAAAUUAUUAUAUUUUUAUAUAAGUAAAUCAGUUAAGGAUAAGCUAAAUUGAUUUUUUAAAAUUUAUUUUAUUUUAAAUUUUUUAUAGGAUUGAUAAUUUUCAUUUUUAUUUUGUUACAAUUAUACUUUUAUUUAUAAAAUUUUUUUUAUUUUAAUUUUUUAUUAAAUUGAUGACUUUAAUAUUUUAAGUUCUUUUAUAAUGAUAAAAUUAGUAAUUUUGUUAAUUUAAGUAUAGGAAUUCGGCAAAAUUAAUUUUCACCUGUUUAACAAAAACAUGGUUUUUUGAUUUUAAUUUAAGAUCAGGCCUGCCCAUUGAUUUAUAAGAAUUAAAAGGCUGCGGUAUUUUAACUGUACGAAGGUAGCAUAAUCAUUUGUCUUUUAAUUGGAGGCUAGAAUGAAUGGUUCGAUGAAAAAUUAUCUUUCUUUAUUUAAUUUUUUUGAAUUUAAUUUUUCGAUUAAAAAGUCGAAAUUUUUUUAUAGGACGAGAAGACCCUAUAGAAAUUUAUUUUUUUUAUAAAUUUUUCUUUUUAGUUUUUGUUGGAUUUUUUUAGAAUGGAAAAUUUUGUUGGGGUGACAGUAAAAUUUAAAAAACUUUUAUUUAUUUAUUUCAUUAAUUUAUGUUUUGAUCCAGUUUUAUUGAUUAAAAGAUUAAUUUACCUUAGGGAUAACAGCGUUAUUUUCUUGGAGAGUUCUUAUCAAUAAGAAAGUUUGCGACCUCGAUGUUGAAUUAAGAUAAGUUUUGGGUGCAGUUUUUCAAAAUUCUUGGUCUGUUCGACCAUUAAAUUCUUACAUGAUUUGAGUUCAGACCGGUGUGAGCCAGGUCGGUUUCUAUCCUUAUAUUUUUUGAAAUUUAGUACGAAAGGACCAUUUUCAACAAUUAAAAUUGUUUUUUAGAAUAAAAUUAAUU